RNAcentral lists this ribosomal RNA (497 nucleotides) under uncultured bacterium. RNAcentral's name for it is "partial 16S ribosomal RNA". It matches the Rfam family "Bacterial small subunit ribosomal RNA", at positions 28 to 507 of the family's 1533-position model. The record is from RNAcentral.
GAUGAACGCUGGCGGCGUGCCUAAUACAUGCAAGUCGAGCGAACAGACGAGGAGCUUGCUCCUCUGACGUUAGCGGCGGACGGGUGAGUAACACGUGGAUAACCUACCUAUAAGACUGGGAUAACUUAGGGAAACCGGAGCUAAUACCGGAUAAUAUAUUGAACCGCAUGGUUCAAUAGUGAAAGACGGUUUUGCUGUCACUUAUAGAUGGAUCCGCGCCGCAUUAGCUAGUUGGUAAGGUAACGGCUUACCAAGGCAACGAUGCGUAGCCGACCUGAGAGGGUGAUCGGCCACACUGGAACUGAGACACGGUCCAGACUCCUACGGGAGGCAGCAGUAGGGAAUCUUCCGCAAUGGGCGAAAGCUUGACGGAGCAACGCCGCGUGAGUGAUGAAGGUCUUCGGAUCGUAAAACUCUGUUAUUAGGGAAGAACAAAUGUGUAAGUAACUAUGCACGUCUUGACGGUACCUAAUCAGAAAGCCACGGCUAACUACGUG